Saccostrea cuccullata (small rock oyster) is the source of this 296-nucleotide long non-coding RNA. RefSeq lists it as uncharacterized. The transcript has 2 exons. NCBI's taxonomy places the organism in Eukaryota, Metazoa, Mollusca, Bivalvia, Ostreida, Ostreidae. The record is from RefSeq and is a predicted model, not a curated record.
AAAAAAAUCCCUUGUUAGAUAUGUUAAAUAUCAAUAAAUUCAUUCAAAUUUAAAUUGGAAGGACCACCAUAAACAAUGGUAUAAAUUAUGCUGUGCUAAAUAAGAACAAACACUGACUUGGGUUCUCAUUCCGUGUUGUCUAGAUGUGUAGAGUUUUCAAACUGAAUUUGAUUAUAUCAAAAUGUUUUUCAAUAUUUGAAGUUCAUAUUAUUAUUGAUAAUAGCAAGCACAGUUGCACUACUUGUCACUGCAAGCUUUUAAAACAAUGCCUGGGCGAGAAAAUUCGAAUUUUGAUC